ACGGGUGAGUAACACGUGGGCAACCUGCCCUUGAGACUGGGAUAACUUCGGGAAACCGGAGCUAAUACCGGAUAAUAUGAGGAACCUCCUGGUUCUUUAUUGAAAGAUGGUUUCGGCUAUCACUUAAGGAUGGGCCCGCGGCGCAUUAGCUAGUUGGUGAGGUAACGGCUCACCAAGGCGACGAUGCGUAGCCGACCUGAGAGGGUGAUCGGCCACACUGGGACUGAGACACGGCCCAGACUCCUACGGGAGGCAGCAGUAGGGAAUCUUCCACAAUGGACGAAAGUCUGAUGGAGCAACGCCGCGUGAGUGAUGAAGGCCUUCGGGUCGUAAAGCUCUGUUGUUAGGGAAGAACAAGUGCGAGAGUAACUGCUCGCACCUUGACGGUACCUAACCAGAAAGCCACGGCUAACUACGUGCCAGCAGCCGCGGUAAUACGUAGGUGGCAAGCGUUAUCCGGAAUUAUUGGGCGUAAAGCGCGCGCAGGUGGUUUCUUAAGUCUGAUGUGAAAGCCCACGGCUCAACCGUGGAGGGUCAUUGGAAACUGGGGAACUUGAGUGCAGAAGAGGAAAGUGGAAUU
This 580-nucleotide ribosomal RNA is filed under the name uncultured bacterium. Its description in RNAcentral is "bacterial SSU rRNA". It matches the Rfam family "Bacterial small subunit ribosomal RNA", at positions 102 to 668 of the family's 1533-position model. The record is from RNAcentral.